Brassica rapa (field mustard) is the source of this 2636-nucleotide long non-coding RNA. RefSeq lists it as uncharacterized. Lineage: Eukaryota; Viridiplantae; Streptophyta; Magnoliopsida; Brassicales; Brassicaceae. The record is from RefSeq and is a predicted model, not a curated record.
GAACACGGUCCAUUAGAACUACUUGUGGUUUUGAAAUAGCCAACUGGUUUUACUCAGAUUAGAUUAGUAUCUGCUUCACCAACUAUAUCUGCCCACGUUGCAACAUGAGUUGAAUAAGAGAUUUUGUUUUCGUGUUAUUCCUUAUCUGCCAAACGAGAACAAAAAAAAAUCUUUACAUCUGAACCUAUUAUAACAUUUAUCACAUGUUUUAUGGAUUGGAAAAUUCAAAUCUAUAAUAUAAUAGUACAGUUUUCUCUUUCCUGAGGCCACACGUCAGCAUUUUGGGAGGUCUCACUUUUAAAAAGUAUGAAAAAGUGUCAAGUAUGUGGUUCGAAUCCGGGUUAUUGAGAUAUAAACACUAAUAUUAAUUUAUACUACUAAAUUAAAAGCUUCUUUGUACACUGAUGGCCGAAACUAAUAUAUAUACAUAUAUUUAUGAAGGUCGGAAACCUUUGCUUCUUCGGUUUUCUCUGUGGGCCGAGCCUACAAGUGUAUUAUGAGUUUCAUUUUUAAAUGAGGUUCAUCACGUUAUAUGAAAAAAACAACAAUUAUAGUUUUUCCAUAUUGUAAAUUGUCUUCGUUUAACAUGAGUUAGGGUUCUUUUCAUUAUUGUCUUAGACAAGUCUGAGUUACAGAGUUGCGCUGUGUAUCUGUUCGUAAUCUAUUUUUUCACAUGUGAACUCUUCAUCUCCCCAUCUUAAAUCUCUUGAUCUUAAAUGUUCCUGAUUUGUAGCCAUUCUGUAAAUCCUAUAGAUAUGAUUCUUAUCUUUGAUGAACCCAAUCUGUAUCUCCACAAAACUCAUUGAUUCCUCUUAGCUUUAACGAUCUUCUAAAAAAUGUCUCUCUGCCUUUCUAGUUCCUCAAACCGGCGUUCCCGGCAUCCUUCACUUAACCUUCGAGUCUCCCCGUGUUAGUUGUAGUAGUCAGAGCAAGCCUCUAACCUCCUCGCUUAUAGGAUUCCUUGAACUUCAAGAAAGACAGUGAGUUUAUGGGAAUCACGGUUCUCUUCCUUGAUGAAAAGGUAAGUUAAUCUUCGAUUAAUCACGCUUAUUUAAUAUUAUUAUUUUUAAUUGAUUUCAUGAUUCUUUGUUAAAUAAUAUUAUUUACAGAUUCCGUGAUUCAUAGGUUUAUUCCUGCCGGACGUGCUAAUCAUUACAUGUCAUCUUUGAAAGUCGGUUCCAUUGUGAAAGUCGAUCGUUUUGAGUCAUCACGGGUGCUCCUGAGAUCAAUCUCCAAUCAUAAUUAGACUGUUUGACAAUUUUCAAGUGAUUACAAACACAAACCUAGAAUUCCCAGGUAUAUUAUCAUAUUGCAUCAGGGUUUAUAAUAUGUUUUGUUAUCAUAACUGAUAUUUAAACUCGUAGAUGUGGUUGGGCAAAUCCGUUCUGUCCCAGGCUCUGACCUUAGCAAGGAAACAACUCGAGUCGUUAUCCGUCUCCUCAUUGAUCUGUAAGAAACAAUCAACACACAAUUCCCUUUAUAUUAUUAUCUAUGUUGUGCCAACAUCAAUAAUCAAAAAUAUUUCCUACCCAAAUGAUGUGGUCGUCUAUUUAUCUCUCUUACUUAUCAAACUAAUUUUACACAAACCUUUAUUAAACAGCUUAAAAGAAACCACAACAACCCAAACAAUAAAAACACCAAAAACUAGAAUUCCAAAAAAGAUGAAUCAUUAAUGAUCACCUUUUUUUUUCUAAUCUUAGAAAUAAACUUCAAAACAAAUAUACCAAACCAAUCAUCUCAACUAAAACUCAAUGACACAUACAUCGAGUCAGCUAAACAAAUACAAACUACACGGCCAGCUAUUUAAGAAUUUGCAAACUUACUUUCGCAAUGACACAUACAUCGAGUCAGCUAAACAAAUGCAAACUACACGGCCAGCUAUUUAACAGUUUACAAACUCACUUUCACAAUGAAGAAAACGAAGACGACAACCAAGACCAGUGAAAUUACCUAAACAAAAAAGCAGAGUACGUUAUGAACUCUGAUAAAUACAACUAAAAAAGAUUUUUGUUUACAUAUUACCCAUCAAAUAAAAGAUAAACAAACACAUCCACAACAGAAGAUACAAGAGACAAUCCUGACAGACACAAAGGCGGCAACAACAGCUCCACAUGCUCACUUCUCUUGUUUUAUAAAAAUAGCUUACAUGCCCAAUGUCAACAUGCCAAUGCUAUUUGUCUUCUUAUAUGAGAAAUACAUAAAUUCGUUUAAAACUCAUUAAAGUCCAAAUACUCAGAACUGUCACUCAUUUUAUAGUUAUUUCUACAAGUCUUCAUGUAUUUGUUUUAAAGGUCCGGUAAGAGCAACAAGUUUAAAAAUAAAAUAAAAACAUAUAACAAACAUAAUAAGGAUAAUAAAAAUUAUUACUUAAUACACACAACUUACACAACUAAACUCGUGAAAAAAUAUCCAGAAACAAAAGGUACUCUCAGCAACUUUAAUAUAAUUUAUGAAUUCUCAACAGUACAAUAAACAAAUUAAAAAGACAAAUAAACAAUAAGUCUCAGUAACACAGCAAACAACAACAUGAACUAUAUCAAUCACAUUACUAACACAGUUUAGUCCUUCAUUAGUGGAGAACAAUGCAUACACAGUUCAUCAUCACAACUCUAACUCUAUAACAAUAAACAAAACUU